CACGUAGGGUGCGAGCGUUGUCCGGAAUUAUUGGGCGUAAAGAGCUCGUAGGCGGUGUGUCACGUCGGCCGUGAAAACCUGCAGCUUAACUGUGGGCGUGCGGUCGAUACGGGCAUCACUGGAGUUCGGCAGGGGAGACUGGAAUUCCUGGUGUAGCGGUGAAAUGCGCAGAUAUCAGGAGGAACACCGGUGGCGAAGGCGGGUCUCUGGGCCGAUACUGGCGCUGAGGUGCGAAAGCGUGGGGAGCAAACAGG
RNAcentral lists this ribosomal RNA (254 nucleotides) under uncultured bacterium. RNAcentral describes it as "partial 16S ribosomal RNA". It matches the Rfam family "Bacterial small subunit ribosomal RNA", at positions 524 to 776 of the family's 1533-position model. The record is from RNAcentral.